AACGCUGGCGGCGUGCUUCAUACAUGCAAGUCGAACGAUAAGGCACCUUCGGGUGUACAUAAGUGGCGGACGGGUGAGUAAUAUGUAGAGAAUCUGCCCUAGAGAGCGGGACAACAGUUGGAAACGACUGCUAAUACCGCAUAUGAGCGUAGCUGAAAUGCUAUUCUUGAAAACUCCGGUGCUCUGGGAUGAGUCUGCAUCUGAUUAGCUAGUUGGGGGUGUAAUGGACCACCAAGGCGACGAUCAGUAGCUGGUUUGAGAGGAUGAUCAGCCACAAUGGGACUGAGACACGGCCCAUACUCCUACGGGAGGCAGCAGUAGGGAAUUUUGCGCAAUGGGGGAAACCCUGACGCCAGCAACGCCGCGUGACCGAUGAAGCCCUUCGGGGUGUAAAGGUCUGUCAGUGGGGACGAAUAUUGACGGUACCCACAGAGGAAGCAUCGGCUAACUCCGUGCCAGCCGCGGC
RNAcentral lists this ribosomal RNA (466 nucleotides) under uncultured bacterium. Its description in RNAcentral is "bacterial SSU rRNA". It matches the Rfam family "Bacterial small subunit ribosomal RNA", at positions 32 to 518 of the family's 1533-position model. The record is from RNAcentral.